Molecule: small nucleolar RNA, 121 nt
Organism: Balaenoptera musculus (blue whale)
Lineage: Eukaryota; Metazoa; Chordata; Mammalia; Artiodactyla; Balaenopteridae
Source: Ensembl
AAAAAACAUUUGUUGAUUGAUCAAAACUCUGACACAAUUUGAGCUUGCUAUAGCAAGAAAGUCUAACCUAUCCUGGUGUUCUCUUCUCUGUGAGACAAGCCAUUAUAUAGACUUAAACAGU